RNAcentral lists this transfer RNA (73 nucleotides) under Phrynosoma platyrhinos (Desert horned lizard). Its description in RNAcentral is "tRNA-OTHER". The record is from RNAcentral. Lineage: Eukaryota; Metazoa; Chordata; Lepidosauria; Squamata; Phrynosomatidae.
AGCCAGAGUGGUUUAGUGGUUUGAGCAUUGGACUAGGACUCUGGAAACCAGGGUUCAAUUCUCCAUUUGGCUA